UUGCAGGCUAGGUCGGGAGGUUAGCCCUCUCCUGUCGCUGUGAACGGGCUUUACACAGGACCGAAGCUUGGGAAGCGGCAUCCAGAGUGUGAACUGAGUCCUGGUUCGGACUGUGAAGUUUUGUCCUUUCGGAUGAGCUUUCAUGGGAAUCGUGUCAGGGCAGGAAUGCAGCAGCACUCACCAAGAGAGCCCGUGCUGAAAGGGAAGCGAAAUGGAGGAAGCGCUAGGGUAGCUCACUCAUGCUUUGGGUUUCCAUUCUCAGGCGCGCCUGCAC
RNAcentral lists this signal recognition particle RNA (274 nucleotides) under Candidatus Woesearchaeota archaeon. RNAcentral describes it as "signal recognition particle sRNA". It matches the Rfam family "Archaeal signal recognition particle RNA". Lineage: Archaea; Nanobdellati; Candidatus Woesearchaeota. The record is from RNAcentral.